This 465-nucleotide ribosomal RNA is filed under the name uncultured bacterium. RNAcentral's name for it is "partial 16S ribosomal RNA". It matches the Rfam family "Bacterial small subunit ribosomal RNA", at positions 28 to 507 of the family's 1533-position model. The record is from RNAcentral.
GAUGAACGCUGGCGGCGUGCUUAACACAUGCAAGUCGAACGGAAAGGCUCCUGCUUGCAGGGGUACUCGAGUGGCGAACGGGUGAGUAACACGUGGGUGAUCUGCCCUGCACUUCGGGAUAAGCCUGGGAAACUGGGUCUAAUACCGGAUAGGACGAUGGUUUGGAUGCCAUUGUGGAAAGUUUUUCGGUGUGGGAUGAGCUCGCGGCCUAUCAGCUUGUUGGUGGGGUAAUGGCCUACCAAGGCGUCGACGGGUAGCCGGCCUGAGAGGGUGUACGGCCACCUUGGGACUGAGCUACGGCCCAGACUCCUACGGGAGGCAGCAGUGGGGAAUAUUGCACAAUGGGCGCAAGCCUGAUGCAGCGACGCCGCGUGGGGGAUGACGGCCUUCGGGUUGUAAACUCCUUUCGCUAGGGACGAAGCGCAAGUGACGGUACCUGGAGAAGAAGCACCGGCUAACUACGUG